This 418-nucleotide ribosomal RNA is filed under the name Listeria monocytogenes. RNAcentral describes it as "partial 23S ribosomal RNA". It matches the Rfam family "Bacterial large subunit ribosomal RNA", at positions 1 to 418 of the family's 2925-position model. The record is from RNAcentral. Lineage: Bacteria; Bacillati; Bacillota; Bacilli; Caryophanales; Listeriaceae.
AGGUUAAGUGAAUAAGGGCGCACGGUGGAUGCCUUGGCACUAGGAGCCGAUGAAGGACGGGACUAACACCGAUAUGCUUUGGGGAGCUGUAAGUAAGCUAUGAUCCAGAGAUUUCCGAAUGGGGGAACCCAGCAUCUUUUAUAGGAUGUUACGUCUGCGUGAAUACAUAGCGCAGUCGAGGUAGACGCAGAGAACUGAAACAUCUAAGUACCUGCAGGAAGAGAAAGAAAAUUCGAUUCCCUGAGUAGCGGCGAGCGAAACGGGAAAAGCCCAAACCAACAAGCUUGCUUGUUGGGGUUGUAGGACUCCGAUAUGGUAGUCUAUUCAGAUAGUCGAAAUACUUGGAAAAGUAUGUCAAAGAGGGUAAAAACCCCGUAGGCGAAAUUUGGAUAACACCUAGGAGGAUCCUGAGUACGGC